AGAGGGUGCAAGCGUUAAUCGGAAUUACUGGGCGUAAAGCGCACGCAGGCGGUUUGUUAAGUCAGAUGUGAAAUCCCCGGGCUCAACCUGGGAACUGCAUUUGAAACUGGCAAGCUAGAGUCUCGUAGAGGGGGGUAGAAUUCCAGGUGUAGCGGUGAAAUGCGUAGAGAUCUGGAGGAAUACCGGUGGCCAAGGCGGCCCCCUGGACGAAGACUGACGCUCAAGGUGCGAAAGCGUGGGGAGCAAACAGGAUUAGAUACCCUGGUAGUCAUG
This 273-nucleotide ribosomal RNA is filed under the name Serratia marcescens. Its description in RNAcentral is "partial 16S ribosomal RNA". It matches the Rfam family "Bacterial small subunit ribosomal RNA", at positions 527 to 799 of the family's 1533-position model. Lineage: Bacteria; Pseudomonadati; Pseudomonadota; Gammaproteobacteria; Enterobacterales; Yersiniaceae. The record is from RNAcentral.